RNAcentral lists this transfer RNA (66 nucleotides) under Rhinolophus luctus (Woolly horseshoe bat). RNAcentral describes it as "tRNA-Lys". Lineage: Eukaryota; Metazoa; Chordata; Mammalia; Chiroptera; Rhinolophidae. The record is from RNAcentral.
CAUUGAGAAGCUAAGCAGCGUUAACCUUUUAAGUUAAAGACUGAGGGCCCACCCCCUCCUUAAUGA